RNAcentral lists this ribosomal RNA (254 nucleotides) under uncultured bacterium. RNAcentral describes it as "partial 16S ribosomal RNA". It matches the Rfam family "Bacterial small subunit ribosomal RNA", at positions 524 to 776 of the family's 1533-position model. The record is from RNAcentral.
UACGUAGGGCGCAAGCGUUGUCCGGAAUUAUUGGGCGUAAAGAGCUCGUAGGCGGUCUGUCACGUCUGCCGUGAAAACCCGAGGCUUAACCUCGUGGCUUGCGGUGGAUACGGGCAGACUAGAGGUAGGUAGGGGAGAACGGAAUUCCCGGUGUAGCGGUGAAAUGCGCAGAUAUCGGGAGGAACACCCGUAGCGAAGGCGGCACUCUGGGCCGAUACUGACACUGAGGAGCGAAAGCGUGGGGAGCAAACAGG